GUACAUCGUUGAAGUGUGGUUUUCCGUAGUCUGCAAGCUCCAUUUGAAGCUCUCUCUCCUCAUCAUCUGGAAUCAAAGGAGGCAAACCAACAUUAAGUUUUUAAACUUUCUGAUUAUCUAGGACGUGAUCAGGAAUCAAAUGCUGAAGAGGAUUUGGUGGGAUCUGCUUUAUGAUGUCAGCAUUUCCAUCCUGGUUACUGUUUACACCUGGAAGCACACAAAAACAAUUAAAACACUUUGACUAUUUGCACUGUUCAGGCACAAGGAAAAGCAGCUUAUGAAUUAAGUCCUUUUUGAAGGGCAAGGGAUCCCCUGGCGUGUGUUUUUUGUGUGUGUGUGUUUUUUAACCCUCAUGACGGAUUUUUCUCCAAACAUUGCUGACACCUGUGCUUUCAUUUUCUCAGUAGUCAAGGCAGAGAAUGGGGAAGAAGGAGUGUCAUCCAUUAUCAGCUAUUGAUACUUCUGUCACACUUCUUUUAAAAGCUUAAGAGGAAUGCUGCAAAUACAUCAUUGGAAGCAUCAGGCUUUCUCCAUGCCUGGACGUUACUUUCUUACCAAGUCUAGUGACCACUUGCGUCACUCAAACCACUUUGUCCUUUCUUUAAUUUAAUGCAUGGUGUGGGGACAGCAGUGGUUUCCAACCUUUUUUUGGCCAUGCCCCACCUAAGUAUCUCUAAACUCCUGACACACCCCACCCCCUGGGACAUAUAAUUCUUAUUAUUCAAAAAGUGAACUCCUAUUCAAGUGGAGGAAGCCUAAAAGGCUAUUCACUGUUAAUAACCCAUUCUUGAAUUGCCCUCCCCCUAAAAAUCAAAUUGCCCCCGCCCCACAUUGGGAACAAACUGGAUUAACUUCAGCCCUUUUACAAGUUAAAUUAACCUUGUCAGUAUUUGCUUCUCACUUCCACUCUCUGGUGAUUAUCGCCUCUGUUCCCUGGGAUUGCUCACUUUACAAAUAAAAGCUGCCCACAUGUACACCUUCACGCCUCUAAUUCCUAAAUAAUGUCUGCUUUGUAAUGUCUUUGCUAAACCUGAGAAACAGAGAAGGUACAUGGUGGUUUUAAACACUCCUAAAGAAGUUUUAGAUCACAUUCACCUUGGCUCUGCAUAAAGACUAAAGGAGAGGCCAGACUGAGAACAACUUUUUUUCUCUUAAGACCAUUUAUUUCAACAAGUCUGCUGUACGUAUAACUUAAAGGUAAAGGGACCCCUGACCAUUAGGUCCAGUCGCAGACGACUCAGGUUGCGGCGCUCAUCUCGCUUUAUUGGCCGAGGGAGCCGGCGGUCCUCCCCGUUGACUCUUAGCAGGCUGGGGAAGAACUGGUGACCUCAUUCCGCCAUAAGAGAGUGAGGGAUAACCUGCUUUAGAAUGCCCUUCACUGAAGGAGAAUAUUUACUCCUGUUUUAAAGAUGCACCAGGGACUUCUUACCUUGAGCCAGGUUUGGAGCAUGGGGCUUUUCUGUUGGAAGAUUUCCAUUGGGUUGAGGUUCAUUCUGAGAAGCUGAAACAAGUGGCUUCUUCAAAGCUAAACAAACAAAACCACACUGUGACUCACUGAUCUACUAAUACCAAUGGCACAUCCUAAGGCAACCACUGAGCGCACUGUUCAAAAAGAGAACUGAUAUGUUCUGUUGGAAGCCGCCCAGAGUGGCUGGGGAAACCCAGCCACAUGGGCGGGGUAUAAAUAAUAAAAUUAUUGUUAUUGUUGUUGUUGUUUUGUUGUUGUUAUGUUCUGCAAAGGGCUGAUUUCUGACAAGUGAACCAAGAUUGGUACAAAUGCAGUUGUUGGCAGUAGCUCUUCUCUAUUUUCAAGAUAAGCCAUACAGAAGCAGGGGCUUUCCUGCAAGGGCCAGAAUCCAGUAUACUAUAACAAAAGUUUGCGUUCUCACCAGUUUGAAAUGUUUUGUCAGGACAGCAUUUGCUAGUGUUCACAUGCUGAGAAGAGUUAAGUGCAAUUUUGCGGGGUUGCAAAAAAAGAAGACGAAAGUUCCCCCUCCCCAUUUAUACUUCUUAUUGAUGAGAAAGAAUCAGUGGCAACUAAUUCUGCCAGUUUAUACUAAGAAUCAAGAUUCUGGUGCAGCAUCUGUCUUUUUAUUUCACAUCUGAUAACUGCUUUAGCCAAUAGCACUUCACCCCUCUUCAGGCAAGUCCUCUUGUAAACUACCUUGGUCAUCUUUGGCAACAAACUGAAAUCUGACACUAGCUAGCCCUUUCUCUGGAGUUGAAAUCAGUAACCCAUCUAAAAAAACCCACAAACUGCUGAGGGAGGAAAUGGGUAUUUCAGAAUUAUCAAAAAUAAUAGAUUUUAGAUUACUUAGAAAUAGUAGUAGUAGUAAAAUAUAUAUAGCUUUGCUAACCAGUGAGUGUAUCUUCAGCUUUAGCAGCAUCGUUCUCUUCUAUCCCAGGCAUGCCUGCAUCAUCUCCUGGUUUUAUUUUCUCUGUCAAGAGAAGAAGAAAUUUCUCUCCUUACUGCUGCUUACUUUUAAGUUCUAAGUGGAUUCACAAUUGUUACAGGGACUGGACUAGAGGUAGUAGAUCAUAGUUGCUGAACAGAAAGCAAUACAUCUCCCUCAGUGAGCUAGCUGCAAAGGCAGGCAACUUUCUCCAAGACUUCAUUGCUGGCCAAUGUUAAAAAUGGCACCAGAUCUGUGCCUCAAGACUGAGGAGUUCCUAGCCAGCCAGGUACUCUGCAUUCUCCCAAGACACCUAAGAGGUACAUAGCGAUGUGACCCACAAUUGUACUAGACAGACCUUUGCCAUCUGAGAUAUUGUUGAUGGAAGGUGUUUCAUUCCUAAUUACAUUCUUUUCAUCCAAUUGUUGCGUUGUCUUCAAUAUUGUUGGAUUAUUGCUCAGGUUGCUCUCAAUAUCUUUACUGGACUGGCUUCUGUGUGCAGCCUGUUAAAAUGUAAAGAACCAACUAUGAAACACAGUUGUUCACAUUUGAAUUAGACAUCCUGUGUGCCUGUCACUCCAUUAGGAUGAUUCAGUCUGUUGUCAAUGGAAAUUCACUUCUACUUCUAUCUCAACCAAGUUUUGUUCUUUUCUCAUAACAAAGUCUAACAUCAAAUUUAUGGAUAGAACUGAUCUACGCCAGAUGGGCAGCGUAUAAAUAAUAAAUUUUAUUAUCAUGAUUGUUAUUAUCAUCAUUAUCAUCAUGGCAACAGGGGUGCUGGCAACCCAUCCUAGAAUCAUGCAGCGAGCAGUGAAGGGUAGGAUGCAAAGCAAUCCUCUAUCCAUUCCCAAGUGGAGCGAAAGCUGGUUAGAUCAGGCAUAGGCAAACUCGGCCCUACAACUCCCAUGAUCCCUAGCUAACAGGUCAGGGAUGAUGGGAACUGUAGUACCAAAACAUCUGGAGGGCUGAGGGCCUAUGCCUGGGUUAGAACCUGACCCUUCUCUUAAUGAGUAAGUAGAGAGGAAAUUACCAAAGGAAAAUGGUAUUUCAAACCAUUCUCAAGUGUCCAUAAAAAAUGAUAGGAACAUAUGAAGAUACCUUCUUGGACAUUCCCAGCACUACCUGGAGAUGCUGGGGAUUAAACCUGGGACCUCCUGGAUCCAAGGAAGAUGCUCUUUCUACCCCUCAACUAUGGCCCUUCACAGACUUAAGCAACUGAGCAUUUAGAUGAUGUACCUUUUGGUCUUGUGUAACUUGGUCCUCUAACUUUCUCAUAUUUUCUUCAUGCUGCAUCCUCAGUUCUUUGAUCUGAUGUCCACACUGAAAACUGGCAGAACAGAUAAUGUACAACACAGGCACUGAAUGUAUGAAUCCAUCUAGCAUAGCAAAAGUCAUCAACAGCAGCUGGUAGUGUUUCUCUAAAGUCUGAGGCAAGAGGGAUAUUUCCCAAGAUCAUAGAAUCCUGGAGUUGAUGACAGAAGUCCACAGAUCCUUUUAUGUGAAGAUGCCAGGGACUGAAGCUCAUAUCUUCUACAUACAAAGCAGAUCCUCUACCACAAUAUUAUGGAUGCUCUUUGCAAAGGAAAGAGUUCCAGCUUCUACUAAGACUUAAGUUCUAAAUGAAGGUGACUCUCCUUAUGGACACAUGAACGGCAAUGAAAUUGCUAGCACAUUUGCAAAGUUAAGCAGGGACUGGUAUGGUUUCAAGAUUCCUGCAUUGCAGGGGGUUGAACUAGAUGACCCUUGGGGGGUCCUUUCCAACUAUGAUUCUAUGAAUAAGUGCCACAAGAAUUGAAAUCUCCUGUCUGACCUUUCCCUAUAAUUGUGUUUGCUUAUUCCUUGCCUGAGUCAGGAGAUGGAACAUGGAAUUGGCUCUCCCUCCAUUCCACAUAACAUAGCAAACUGUGAAGCACCCUCCACUGUGUUGACUGGUGGUGCUGUAGGAUAAUCAAUACAUUUUUGGUGCAGAGAUUGCCAUCCCUUAGGAAUUCUACCUUGGAUACCUUGAUUAACGGGUUCUGAGCACCAUUUCUUUUGCUUCUUUUAGCAAGCAAGUCAAAAUCAUGAAGUUUCACUAGUCUCCUUUUCAGUGAGGGCAGAAAGGGCACUACCCUACCACAGCUGUCCUAAAGUAUGCUUUUCUUCUAACUCCUUCUGCAUAUAGGACGCUGAUGUCAAAAGCAGGACUCCACUUUGAUCUGAAAGAUCAUGGCACAGCUAAGCUGGAAACACUCUGCAGAACUCUGUAUUAUUAGAGUACAUUGGCAUCAGUUCAGAUUUACAUAGUACUAUGCUCACCUUUCAU
Molecule: non-coding RNA, 4698 nt
Organism: Podarcis muralis (Common wall lizard)
Lineage: Eukaryota; Metazoa; Chordata; Lepidosauria; Squamata; Lacertidae
Source: RefSeq, a predicted model, not a curated record